UAGUGGCGGACGGGUGAGUAACGCGUGGGUAACCUGCCAUAUACAGGGGGAUAACACUUAGAAAUAGGUGCUAAUACCGCAUAAGCGCACAGGGGCGCAUGCCCCGGUGUGAAAAACUCCGGUGGUAUAUGAUGGACCCGCGUCUGAUUAGCCAGUUGGCAGGGUAACGGCCUACCAAAGCGACGAUCAGUAGCCGGCCUGAGAGGGCGGACGGCCACAUUGGGACUGAGACACGGCCCAAACUCCUACGGAAGGCAGCAG
RNAcentral lists this ribosomal RNA (261 nucleotides) under uncultured bacterium. Its description in RNAcentral is "partial 16S ribosomal RNA". It matches the Rfam family "Bacterial small subunit ribosomal RNA", at positions 93 to 354 of the family's 1533-position model. The record is from RNAcentral.